RNAcentral lists this ribosomal RNA (253 nucleotides) under uncultured bacterium. RNAcentral describes it as "partial 16S ribosomal RNA". It matches the Rfam family "Bacterial small subunit ribosomal RNA", at positions 524 to 776 of the family's 1533-position model. The record is from RNAcentral.
UACGUAGGGUGCGAGCGUUGUCCGGAAUUACUGGGCGUAAAGAGCUCGUAGGUGGUUUGUCGCGUUGUUCGUGAAAACUCACAGCUUAACUGUGGGCGUGCGGGCGAUACGGGCAGACUGGAGUACUGCAGGGGAGACUGGAAUUCCUGGUGUAGCGGUGAAAUGCGCAGAUAUCAGGAGGAACACCGGUGGCGAAGGCGGUUCUCUGGGCAUUACCUGACGCUGAGGAGCGAAAGUGUGGGGAGCAAACAGG